UGAGAUUUCCCAUAGCGUCAAGCUAGUAAGACCCCUGAAAGAUGAUCAGGUUGAUAGGUUUGAGGUGGAAGCAUGGUGACAUGUGGAGCUGACAAAUACUAAUCGGUCGAGGACUUAACCAAAA
This 124-nucleotide ribosomal RNA is filed under the name Cytobacillus praedii. RNAcentral describes it as "Bacillus praedii partial 23S ribosomal RNA". It matches the Rfam family "Bacterial large subunit ribosomal RNA", at positions 2805 to 2925 of the family's 2925-position model. The record is from RNAcentral. Lineage: Bacteria; Bacillati; Bacillota; Bacilli; Caryophanales; Bacillaceae.